GACGAACGCUGGCGGCGUGCUUAACACAUGCAAGUCGAAUGGGCCUGUCUUCUUUUUUGGGGGUGGGUUGAGUGGCGAACGGGUGAGUAUCACGUGAGUAACCUGCCCUUCGGUCCUGGAUAACCGCUUGAAAGGGCGGCUAAUACGGGGUGGUCCGGUUGGUCCGCAUGGGCUGGUCGGGAUAGAUUCACUGUUUUUGGUGUUUCGGCGGGGGAUGGGCUCGCGGCCUAUCAGCUUGUUGGUGGGGUGAUGGCCUACCAAGGCGGUGACGGGUAGCCGGCCUGAGAGGGUGGGCGGCCACACUGGGACUGAGAUACGGCCCAGACUCCUGCGGGAGGCAGCAGUGGGGGGUAUUGCACAAUGGGCGGAAGCCUGAUGCAGCGACGUCGCGUGAGGGAUGGAGGCCUUCGGGUUGUGAACCUCUGUUUCCGGUGGUGAAGGCCCUGUCCGUGUGGUGGGGUUGACGGUAGCCGGGGAUGAAGCGCCGGCUAACUACGUG
RNAcentral lists this ribosomal RNA (499 nucleotides) under uncultured bacterium. RNAcentral describes it as "partial 16S ribosomal RNA". It matches the Rfam family "Bacterial small subunit ribosomal RNA", at positions 28 to 507 of the family's 1533-position model. The record is from RNAcentral.